This is a long non-coding RNA of Asterias rubens (European starfish), 3474 nucleotides long. RefSeq lists it as uncharacterized. The record is from RefSeq and is a predicted model, not a curated record. NCBI's taxonomy places the organism in Eukaryota, Metazoa, Echinodermata, Asteroidea, Forcipulatida, Asteriidae. The transcript is spliced from 3 exons.
UGAUGUCGGACUUAAUCGUCACCGUCGGACACAAUCGUGUGUAACAUACGUGCACAGACUAAACAGCUCCUUCCACAACAUCAGCAGGCCGCGCCGUGGAAUGGAUGUCCAUAUGGAAACCCAGAAGUCCUUAAAAGACUAUUUAUCUGAAUGGGGAGUAGCUGAAUUACUUCAGCACUUUCAAGGUGAGUAAUCGUUCACAGUUUACAAAGGUUAAUGUUCUCGUAAGAUAAACAAAGAUGUGCUUUAGAAAGUUGCACAUAAGUUCAAACAGUUUACAUGUAGUUGAACUGUCAAAUCCAUGUUCACUGCACUACUGACUGUAUACACUCGGUACUGACACACAGUGGCAAACACGUUUGAACUAUUGUCUGUGUGUAUUGUUAAGUAGGUCUAUCAUAAUAAGGCCAUACACACAUCUUAUUGAUUGGAGGUGUUGAUGUUUGACAUUGAUUAGCCUUAGAAAUUGAAUAUUAUUGGAAAAAUAUAUUGUACUAUUUUAACAAUAGGAACGGAAAUUGGCCUACACUCCAACCAAGCUUUAAUUUUGUCUCUGGGGGGUAGUACUUGGUUGUUAAAUCGUUUAUUAUUUGGCUUAAAUAAUGGAAUAAUGAUGGUUUUAGACCAAGUAGUGUGUGGGAAACUUGUGAUGGUGGGAUGGGGUUUUUGUACUUUUUGUGUACCCACGUCUUGUAUUCGGCUUAGUUUAUAAUUAAACCAUGUUUGGCAGACUGGAAUUCGGAAUUAAACAAAGCAAGUGGGUCUAGCUCUUUAAAAGGUUCAUGUUCUUUCCAUUAACAUAGUUUAAGUCUACCACAGAGAUUUACAACCAAAGUUUGGGCAAAAGUAACUUAACAGUUGAGCUAAACAAUCUAUGUUGUAUACAAAGUUGGUUGAAAUUUAUGUUUUACUGGGAACUUAACACUAAAAGUUGGGCAAUUCUUAUUUAACCAAUGGCUGGUUCACCGGUGUUAUUCACCUGUUGGUUAUCAAUUACCCAAAUGCAAUUGCCAUAACCUUUGGCAAAUGGUGCAUUAACCAGAGUUUAGUUAAAAGUCAAAUAAACCGUUUGACCAUGGCAAUGUAUUAAGUUGUAAUGAUUUUUCUAAUGAUUUUUUUCAUAAACAUAAGAGAAAGUCUGCUAACAAAGAUCCUUUACAUAUUUAGGAACUAAAUUACUUUGAGGCCAACAUACACAGUACUUAAUUUAUUUGAGACUUUAUCCAUCAAUGACAAAGUUGUGAGAGCACAACAUUUCCCUUUUUUUAAUUUAUGUUAUUGAUUUAUACAACUUUGUAAAUAAGCCCAUAGUAGGUGCUAAUGGUGGGAGAACUGUUUUGAAUAGUUUUUUUAGCAAUGAAACAUACAAAAAGUGUAUUAUUUAAUUGUGUUUUCCUGCAUUAAUUAUUUAUUUAUUUGUGUGUUUAGAUCAGCACGUAGAUGUACAGACACUCUCUCUGCUGGAUGAGAAAUCUAUAGAGGAACUGAUUGCCAAAGUUGGGGUGAGAGUUAGGCUCUUACAUGGUUGGAGAGAAGAAAAGAGAAGAAGGCUUUGGCAUUCUACACAUUGCCACUACUUCUUGGUGCAAAGUCAAAGGGUGGACAAGUGGGUGGAUAUUUUGGUAUGACCAUGGAGGCAUUCAUUGACCUGCAACCGGCAAUCACCAACAUUGAAGGCUACUUGAAGGGUAUUGACGGAUUGGAGAGACCGCAGCCAUUUGUUCUUGCUCUAGUUGGUAAGAACAAACUGUUACCAUCGCAGGUGUUCACAGUAAUGGAACGCCGAGCAAUUGAGGCGCCGAGUCUACUCAAAGGAAUUGACAUGGCCUUUAAGGCACAUUAUGUAUUUAAUGUGUCUUACCAACAAAAGGUAAAAGCUGUUUGGGAGUUUCUUCAGUGUGUGAUUUAUGAACUUCCAGGAAAAGUCAGGCCUGCAGUGCGAGACAUGCGUGCCUACCUAAUGGAAGCAGCAAGAAAAGGCAUUAGAUAGAUAGAUUGUUGGACAGACUAUAUUGGUCAGGCCAGUGUCAUUUUCUACACCAGACCUCUUGACACCGUUUUUAAUAAAGUUAAAAUUCUUCUUGUUCUCAUGUUACAAAGUUUUACAUUAUUUUGUAAAAGGUGGUGUGUUCCCCCCCCCCCCCAUUUCCGAAAACGGGUUUUCUAAAAGAAAGAAAAAAAUAAUUAAAUUCACACACAAAAAUUAAUCCAUACAAAUCUUCAGCAAACUUGGUGUUCAUUUGUUUUCAAUCAGCUAAUUACUAUUUCUUCUUUAUCAGUCAUCUUGUGGACUUUUAUAUUGUGCGAAUUUCAAUUGUUGCAAUUGAAACUGUUGCAUUUUCAAAUACAGUUCACUCAAAGAUUGCAAUGUUUUAGAUGCAAACAUUUCUCAUCCGUAUUGGUACAACACCUUUGUAAAAAUUCAGAUUUAAACUAAAAUUACCAAAGCCAUAAUAUUAUACCUUUAAUUCAUUACUUUGUUAUAUAAAGAGUUCUCCAAAGCUGUGAGCAGUUCAACUUAAUAAAUUGUCGGCACAUUUGUUUGUGUGUCUGUACAAUAACAUUGUACUUUCACUGAGCUUUUAAACAACUAAGCACUUGAGAAAAUCACAGGAUAUUUUGUUAGUCCACUUUGAAUUUUGGAACAGUGCAGCCAUAUUUUGCCUGCCCUGAGCAUAUUCACCCUCUUGGAAAAGAUAGCACAAAAUUUCAAAUCAUGGAGAGGGCUACAAGGUUAUUUGCCAUUUGAGCCUCAGUUUGGUUACAUUACUUUGAAAAGAAGAACAACAAGAUGGCUGCACCAUGAUAAAACUUUAUAGUUAUAUUAAUUAGCUGCAACCAUUAUUUUUUACAUGUACACUCAUUGAUCACAAUCCAUACCAUUGUUAUAUUUACAUAGAAGCGUUUUGUAUAAAGCAGCACUUAGUUGUUUUUAAAGAACUACCUCAAGCUCCAUGUAAAUUCAUCAAUUUACAUUUUUUACUAUAACUAAAAUUCACAUAUAAAAAAAUUAAUCAUUUUCAGGAAUAUUUCUAUAAAUGCCACAACUGCCUCGUUAAGCAAAUACAGGGUUGGUGCAGUUGGUAAUCUAAACAUGAAAUAAUCCGAGGUAUUUUUGUCUUUCCUCUUUUUGCAAACCCAAUGUGGUCUGUGUAGUUAAGUAAAACAAGUUUUAUCACGUUUAAGUGUUUUAAAAGUUAGUGUUUUAAUCGUGAUAUGCAAUAUAUAUAUAUAUAUAAACCUAUAUUUUAUUUUUGUGUACUAUUCAUGCUGAUUAUGUCUGCUAAACUAAAGAAUCACCUUGAUGUUGAUGUGAUAUGUUUGCCAGGAUUAAACAAAAUAUACAAAUAUCAAUAAUUUAUAAAAAUGUGUUUAUCUUUCUCUUUGUAAUCAAUAUUUAGGAAACACAGUGCCCAUGAGUUAGCUACAUCAGUUUACAAACAAGUAGUUAACGCCCCCUCCCCCCCCCCCCCC